GCCACAUGAUGAAUAUAGAUGGGUUGAGCACUUUUGUGCAAAGAUGACCACUUAUCUAUCACCCUUUUCUGAUGGCU
This is a small nucleolar RNA of Conger conger (European conger), 77 nucleotides long. RefSeq annotates it as small nucleolar RNA SNORD83. Lineage: Eukaryota; Metazoa; Chordata; Actinopteri; Anguilliformes; Congridae. The transcript has a single exon. The record is from RefSeq and is a predicted model, not a curated record.